This 1161-nucleotide ribosomal RNA is filed under the name bacterium. RNAcentral describes it as "bacterial SSU rRNA". It matches the Rfam family "Bacterial small subunit ribosomal RNA", at positions 31 to 1207 of the family's 1533-position model. The record is from RNAcentral.
GGGAGUUGGGGGCAUACUAUAAUGCAAGUCGAGCGGACAGAUGGGAGCUUGCUCCCUGAUGUUAGCGGCGGACGGGUGAGUAACACGUGGGUAACCUGCCUGUAAGACUGGGAUAACUCCGGGAAACCGGGGCUAAUACCGGAUGCUUGAUUGAACCGCAUGGUUCAAUUAUAAAAGGUGGCUUUUAGCUACCACUUACAGAUGGACCCGCGGCGCAUUACCUAGUUGGUGAGGUAACGGCUCACCAAGGCAACAAUGCGUACCCAACCUGAAAGGGUGAUCGGCCACACUGGGACUGAAACACGGCCCAAACUCCUACGGGAGGCAGCAGUAGGGAAUCUUCCGCAAUGGACGAAAGUCUGACGGAGCAACGCCGCGUGAGUGAUGAAGGUUUUCGGAUCGUAAAACUCUGUUGUUAGGGAAAAACAAGUACCGUUCGAAUAGGGCGGUACCUUGACGGUACCUAACCAAAAAGCCACGGCUAACUACGUGCCAGCAGCCGCGGUAAUACGUAGGUGGCAAGCGUUGUCCGGAAUUAUUGGGCGUAAAGCGCGCGCAGGCGGUUUCUUAAGUCUGAUGUGAAAGCCCCCGGCUCAACCGGGGAGGGUCAUUGGAAACUGGGGAACUUGAGUGCAGAAGAGGAGAGUGGAAUUCCACGUGUAGCGGUGAAAUGCGUAGAGAUGUGGAGGAACACCAGUGGCGAAGGCGACUCUCUGGUCUGUAACUGACGCUGAGGCGCGAAAGCGUGGGGAGCGAACAGGAUUAGAUACCCUGGUAGUCCACGCCGUAAACGAUGAGUGCUAAGUGUUAGAGGGUUUCCGCCCUUUAUUGCUGCAGCAAACGCAUUAGCACUCCGCCUGGGGGAGUACGGUCGCAAGACUGAACUCAAGGAAUUGACGGGGGCCCGCACAGGCGGUGGAGCAUGUGUUUAUUUCGAAGCACGCGAGACCUUACCAGGUCUUGACAUCCUCUGACACCUAGAGAUAGGCUGCUCUUCGGGCAGAGUGACAGUGGUGCAUGUUGUCGUCACUCGUGUCGAGAAUGUUGGGUUAGUUCCGCAACGACGCACCUUGAUCUUAGUGGCAGCAUCAUGGCACUCUAGGUUACUGCGUGACACGGAGAAGUGGGGGAUGACUCCAUCAUCAUUGCCCCUGUAUAUGA